Small nuclear RNA from Lontra canadensis (Northern American river otter), 107 nucleotides. NCBI's taxonomy places the organism in Eukaryota, Metazoa, Chordata, Mammalia, Carnivora, Mustelidae. The record is from RefSeq and is a predicted model, not a curated record.
GUGCUCACUUUGGCAGCACGUAUACUAAAAUUGGAAUGAUACAGAGAAGAUCAGCAUAGCCCCUGUGCAAGAAUGAAAUGCAAAUUCAUAAAGUGGUCCAUAUUUUU